RNAcentral lists this unclassified non-coding RNA (648 nucleotides) under Hevea brasiliensis (rubber tree). The record is from RNAcentral. Lineage: Eukaryota; Viridiplantae; Streptophyta; Magnoliopsida; Malpighiales; Euphorbiaceae.
GGUUGGACUUGAGCUAAUAUUGCGCCGAUCUUCCCGUACAGCGAUAUAACGAUUGAGACGUAAAUCAAACACUCCAUCAGCAUAACUGACUAACGGUCCACCAUAAUCUGGAGUAAGGGGUCGGGGAGAAGAAUCAUGGGGUUUAACUGAUUGCUUAUAUAAUCUCUGGUCCUCGAAAUUAGAGAAGACUACAGUGUCCCCAGAUACCAUGAAAGCACCACCACCGUACUCAUGUGCAGUGGUCCGAACUGAGAACUCCUUUGGAGUAAUAUCAAUAAUCUCAUCGCCCAGCUUCAUCGGUUCCUUGACAAGAACUUCCCGCCCAGAUUCAGACGGCCGUGAUUCAAGCCAGAUAAGGCGACCAGAACCAUCAACGGCAGCACCUCCGAUUCGUUUGGAGGCGCCGGACACAACGUCAGCGGUGAUCGGAGACUUCCAUGAGCCAUAGGGUGCGGUGAUUUUCUCCUGUUGAUUAACUACUUGGGGGAAUUCCUUGCUAACUGAAGAUGAGACAGAGGAAGCCAUUGUUCUUAGACCGGUGAUACAGUCGGUAUCGCCUAUGGGUGCGAUUAGGAACUAGAUGAGAGAAGUUAGCGACGGCCACGUGAACAUUGACAGUAGUAUAUUUUUUUACAACAGCCGGGUGGA